RNAcentral lists this ribosomal RNA (532 nucleotides) under Escherichia coli. Its description in RNAcentral is "bacterial SSU rRNA". It matches the Rfam family "Bacterial small subunit ribosomal RNA", at positions 880 to 1412 of the family's 1533-position model. Lineage: Bacteria; Pseudomonadati; Pseudomonadota; Gammaproteobacteria; Enterobacterales; Enterobacteriaceae. The record is from RNAcentral.
GUACGGCCGCAAGGUUAAAACUCAAAUGAAUUGACGGGGGCCCGCACAAGCGGUGGAGCAUGUGGUUUAAUUCGAUGCAACGCGAAGAACCUUACCUGGUCUUGACAUCCACGGAAGUUUUCAGAGAUGAGAAUGUGCCUUCGGGAACCGUGAGACAGGUGCUGCAUGGCUGUCGUCAGCUCGUGUUGUGAAAUGUUGGGUUAAGUCCCGCAACGAGCGCAACCCUUAUCCUUUGUUGCCAGCGGUCCGGCCGGGAACUCAAAGGAGACUGCCAGUGAUAAACUGGAGGAAGGUGGGGAUGACGUCAAGUCAUCAUGGCCCUUACGACCAGGGCUACACACGUGCUACAAUGGCGCAUACAAAGAGAAGCGACCUCGCGAGAGCAAGCGGACCUCAUAAAGUGCGUCGUAGUCCGGAUUGGAGUCUGCAACUCGACUCCAUGAAGUCGGAAUCGCUAGUAAUCGUGGAUCAGAAUGCCACGGUGAAUACGUUCCCGGGCCUUGUACACACCGCCCGUCACACCAUGGGAGUG